RNAcentral lists this ribosomal RNA (484 nucleotides) under uncultured bacterium. Its description in RNAcentral is "partial 16S ribosomal RNA". It matches the Rfam family "Bacterial small subunit ribosomal RNA", at positions 30 to 507 of the family's 1533-position model. The record is from RNAcentral.
AUUGAACGCUGGCGGCAUGCCUUACACAUGCAAGUCGAACGGCAGCGCGGGAGCAAUCCUGGCGGCGAGUGGCGAACGGGUGAGUAAUACAUCGGAACGUGCCCAAUCGUGGGGGAUAACGCAGCGAAAGCUGUGCUAAUACCGCAUACGAUCUACGGAUGAAAGCAGGGGAUCGCAAGACCUUGCGCGAAUGGAGCGGCCGAUGGCAGAUUAGGUAGUUGGUGAGGUAAAGGCUCACCAAGCCUUCGAUCUGUAGCUGGUCUGAGAGGACGACCAGCCACACUGGGACUGAGACACGGCCCAGACUCCUACGGGAGGCAGCAGUGGGGAAUUUUGGACAAUGGGCGAAAGCCUGAUCCAGCCAUGCCGCGUGCAGGAUGAAGGCCUUCGGGUUGUAAACUGCUUUUGUACGGAACGAAACGUUCUUUUCUAAUAAAGAAGGCUAAUGACGGUACCGUAAGAAUAAGCACCGGCUAACUACGUG